ACUCAACGAAAAUAAUAAGGCACAAAAAAAAAUGACUCUCCCCAGAUAGCAGAAUACAGAAACCAGCGAUUUUACUUGGAAUUCUUUUGGUGUAUAAAGGAGGAAAGAAAAUGAACUCAGUAGCCCACGUGACCCGAAGUGACCAAUAGAAUUUAUAUAACACCGCCAUCUUAGUUUCUCACGAGACAUUUACCGAAAUAGGGUCAUCAUGGCGGGAGUUAUAAUUAUUUAGCAUGUUUUGUUUUAUUAUUGAUGUUAACAAAGGAUAGUUAUUCAGGAGAAGGCAGUAUUAAGGUAAGAUAUUGUUUGUAUGUAUUAAAUACAGAUAAUUAUCUCCCAUCCGGGGUCGAUAUUAAAGAAUAAGAAGCGAAAAUGCUGAAGUUGGUGGUAACGGAGUCUGAACUGGAGAGAGAAAGAAAGAUACAAAAUUCUUACAAAAACCACGUUAGUGUGUGUGUGUGAAACAACUAAAAGUAUAAUAUUAAAACAAUAUCUUUUACAUACAUCUUAAAAAUCACUGGAUAUAUUGAUCCCAGAUUGCAAUUCAUUCAUGGAAGAAAAGAAAAACAUUUUCCAAUACUUUCGGUUUCUACCCCCGCCUCUUUUUUUCCGAAAAAAAAAAGACUUGCCGUACAUUAGGCAUCCGUAAUGCAUUCUUUUUUAAAGGUUUAUAUAUAUACACACACACAUACAAUUUCCUGAAAAUAUGUUAAUUUUCCUUAAAGUUACGAGAGAAAAAAUCGGAUCUUUUGAAUUUUCCGAAGUCCUCUCCUCACCCCCUCGGAAGACAUUUUAACUCACAAAUUUCUUUAUAAUCCUGGUGUAUUCUGUUUGAAAGGUAUUUAUAUAAAAUUUUAUGCAGGAAAAAUCCCAUUUUCCCAAAAGUUAUGAGAGAAAAUCUAGGAUCUUGUGAAUUUUCCGAAGACUUCCCCACCCAUCCGUUGCACUGUUUUUGUUUUUGAUUUCGUUCCCGAGUAAUAUUGUAAACAUAACCGAAAAGGUUUAAAAGUUUAAUAAAACAGGUCAACAAACUGAAACUGUUUUUAAUCAUCAGAGUUGCUGAUAGACUUUUCUGGGUUAAUUUAUGAUGCUGAUUACGAAUCUGAAGUUCGAAUUCCUCUAUCAGGCCACAUUUUCAUGUUAAUGAUACCUGCUGUCUUAAGUUAUAGGAUACGUAAAGCAUGUCUGCAUAAAGUAUAUUGAAUACAAGAUACGAUAAUUUCAUGACUUUUUAUUGUACAAAAUUAGGCAUUCUUUCGAUUUGACUCGACGAGACCAAAACAAAACCUCGGUUGUUUCCGUGACAAUUGCUAAAAUGGGAGGAGGAGGAGAAGAAAGCUAAUGCACACACGCACAGAGACAAGAACAAGCACGCACACACAACCCAUUAGCUUUCUUCUCCCAUUUUAGCAGCUGUCACGGUGGUCACGAAGAUAUCCGAAGUGAAUUGUCGUGUUGUCACGGAAACAACCGAGGUUUUGUUUUGGUCUCGUCGAGUCAAAUUGAAAGAAUGCCAAAAUUAUUGUGUACAAAUAAGUUAGAAUACACUCAAAUACAUAACUUAAAAUCUUUGGGAUUUGGACUUUCUAUGGUAUUUUGUCUCAGGUUCAUCUCUGUAUAACAUCCAACAGUAGUCAGCUAACAUUCCUAUGCAAUAUCUUGAUGAAAGCGUUCCCCUUGCUCAUCAGGCACUGCUCCAAGGUUCUCUGCAAAAAGUCCAGAUGUGAAUCAAGGAAAUGGACGUUUAGUCACAUCCGACAGCCCAUUGCAGCGUAGGAGUCUAGAAGGCAUUUCACUCCAUUUCUAAACUCUAGAGAUCUCUUGUUGCCUAGGAAAUUUUCACAGAGCCAUUUGAAGGAUUCCCAGGCUUUAAGCUCAAUCUCAUCCGGUGAUGUGAGGAAGUGGUUGUCCUUCAGGAGUUCUUUUAUCUGUGGACCUAUGAAUAUCCCGUCCUUCAGUUUUGCCUCGGUGUUUUAUGAAAAUUUGACCUUCACAUAUUCAUGAAACUAUUGUUUCAUGAGGCCAAGCUUUAUGUGAAGAGGGGGAAGAAGAACAUUUUCUGGGUUUAAAAGUGGCUUACUCUGGAUGCUAGAAACUCCUGGCUCUUAUGAUUUUUGCAAAAGUCACUCUGAUUGCACAUAGUGCUUGUUAGUUGCACGACUGUCCCAUAGGCAUAAAAAGCAACAAUAUUUUGUGAAACCAGAUUGCAUUCUCAUCAACAUUCCAAUCAUCUUCGAGUCUCCACAUAUUUUCCAGCUGUAGUUUGAAUACUUUAUGACAUUGAGGAGUACUUGCAUGUUUUCAUAACACUCCUUCAUGUGCACUGAAUGUCCUAUGGGAAUGGAUGGUUUCUUAUUACUAUUGUGUAGUAGUACUGCCUUGAGGCUUCUCUUAGAUGAAUCAAUGAAUAAGCACCAUUCAGUUGGAACAAACAGCGAAACAACUCGUCAGUGUUAUUACUGAAACAAAGUGGUCCAUCAACAGAGAAGCAUGAAGUCAGAUCCCUAUUUCUCUUUGUGAAAUGAGUAAUACAAACAUGUUUCUUAAGCAGACACUUCUUGUAGGCGAGAUGCUAAUAGUUCAGCUUUAUCCUUCGACAAUGACAAGUCUCUAACUAAAUCAUUUAACUCUCCUUGAGAAAAUUUCUGUGGUACGUCUUCAUUUUCAGUCGUGAAAUCUGCAUCCACUUCGGUGUCUUCCACAGCAGUAAUAUUUUCUUCAGGAAAUACAUCUCCGUCAGACAUCUGAAGGCCAUUUUCUGGUGGUAUUGGAAUAGGAAGAUCAUCAUCAUUGUGUGGUACUGGUCUUUUUGCUGAUUCCAAGUUGGGAUACACAAUCUUAUGCUUGGUCUUUACAGUAAACCCACAUACAUUAAUGUUGCAGAAAUAACAGUCCAUGAAAUGAUCCUUUCGCUCUCUCCAUAUCAUAGGUAUUGCAAACAGCAUUGCUCUCUUCCUCUUAUUUAGCCAAUCCCGUAGUCCACUCGAACAAGCUGAGCAGAUGCUGUGCAGGGCCCAACUCUUAUCUUGAUCCCCGAGAGAGCAGCCAAAGUAUAACUGGUAGAUCUUGAUUUCACUUGUGAUGGCAUGUUGCUGAGCUUUGGUGGUAAAUGAACCACAGAUAUGAAAAUAUACCAGGACUGUUCUUGCAAUGCCUUGACAUCCUGAGUAGAAUUUGAUGAUGAUGAUGACUUGGCACCUUAAACAGAAAGUAAAAUUUAUG
RNAcentral lists this long non-coding RNA (3222 nucleotides) under Octopus vulgaris (common octopus). The record is from RNAcentral. Lineage: Eukaryota; Metazoa; Mollusca; Cephalopoda; Octopoda; Octopodidae.